UCUCUAUUAAUAAAACACAGAGCUGACCGGAGAGGAUUAUGGACCCAUAAAGUCCAGUGAUCCCCCACCUCCCUCCCUGACAUCAAAGAGAAACAAUAGGAAGAUCCUAGAAGUCACCCAGAAGAUCAUUGAUCUGCUGACGGGAGAGGUUCCUAUAAGGUGUCAGGAUGUCACUGUCUAUUUCUCC
Long non-coding RNA from Rana temporaria (common frog), 187 nucleotides. RefSeq lists it as uncharacterized. The record is from RefSeq and is a predicted model, not a curated record. The transcript is spliced from 3 exons. Lineage: Eukaryota; Metazoa; Chordata; Amphibia; Anura; Ranidae.